UACAGAGACUGCAAGCGUUAUUCGGAUUCACUGGGCGUAAAGGGUGCGCAGGCGGCCAAGUGUGUUAGGUGUGAAAGCCCGGGGCUUAACCCCGGAAUUGCACCUAAAACUACAUGGCUAGAGCAUUGGAGAGGGUAGCAGAAUUCACGGUGUAGCAGUGAAAUGCGUAGAUAUCGUGAGGAAUACCAGAGGCGAAGGCGGCUACCUGGACAAUUGCUGACGCUCAGGCACGAAAGCGUGGGGAGCAAAAGGG
Molecule: ribosomal RNA, 253 nt
Filed under: uncultured bacterium
Lineage: Bacteria
Description: partial 16S ribosomal RNA
Rfam family: Bacterial small subunit ribosomal RNA
Source: RNAcentral